Mytilus californianus (California mussel) is the source of this 1238-nucleotide long non-coding RNA. RefSeq lists it as uncharacterized. The transcript has 2 exons. The record is from RefSeq and is a predicted model, not a curated record. NCBI's taxonomy places the organism in Eukaryota, Metazoa, Mollusca, Bivalvia, Mytilida, Mytilidae.
AUUGAUUUUCUCGCUUGAGCCAGUACGGCGAAAGCGAGAAAAGCAAUCGAGUUGGGAUGACCAAUGAUAAUCUAUUUAUCGCUAUUUUACCUAUGAAGACGUUGUUAGUUUCCUUGACAACGGCACGUAUUCCCUUAGUUUCUAGCGAUAAUUUUCAUUUCAAUCGACUCCGUUUUCAUAUCACUCGACUCCGCUGAGAACGGAAAUUAUCAGUCAGCAAGAUCAAAGGAAAAAUUCGUAAAGUAGCAAUAAAUUCAGAUAAUGUCAAGUUUUGGUUCAUCACGUCGCGUUUUUUUUUUUAUUUUCUGGCACGUCCUUAACUUAACACAUCAGCAGUUCAUAGAUAAGAAGAAAUGUUGCUUAACACAGGUCUUUAAAAUUAAAUCUUCUAACACACAUAAACACACACACAGCAAAAAAAACAAAACAAGUAAAAAUCGGACUCAAAUGAGCCAUAGAUAAUAGAAUGCUCUAUUUAUAAUAUAUUUCAUUUUAUUUGUGAAGCUUAGAUUAUAAAUCUAAACCUCCUCUAAGAUAUUUUAUUUUCGUUUUUUUUAAUUUUCAGUCAUAGCUAUCGGAUCAGCUGUUAAUUUUGAAAGCCAAGAACAUACACCGGAAGAUACCAUUGCUGCAAUAAGUACGUCAUUGAACCUGCAAUAUGAAUCCGCUGAGAUGCCUUUAUACCAAUCCGUAUUUUUACCUACUAGUGCAGUCGAAAAUGAGGAACUAUCUACGUCUGUAGUUUCGAAUACAAGCAUUGAUAGCUAUGAUUCGUUUAGAUUCAGUCAAGGGAGCUAUGAAGAUCUAGAACGACAUAUUAAUGACCAGCAUCAGUACCAGCAGUGUCAGUUGCCUGUCAUGUCAAACGAGAGUGAAUCAUCACUGAACUAGAACAAGUAUUGCUGACUACAAUUUUGAAAUACAUUCAUUCAAUUGAAGAGGCAAUUAAUGAUGACAUAACAGAGAGAGAGGAAGAGUUUCCGGUUUAAAACAGAAAUUUCUAAUUACGGAAGGGACAGUUAUUGCUGUUGCAGAAUUCAAAGUCAUUGGAUAUUCGAUAAAAUAUUGAAACGGAGAAAAAGAAAAUUGUACGGCAAUCUAAAAUGCCUAAAGCCAAUAUGAAACCUUAAGAUAAACAAAUUGGCAUCAACAACAGAAACGCUAUAAUCGAUGUUUCUUAACAUCUCUUAAUAAAGAUUACAGACAAUGCUACAUAAUAAAAGAACAAGAUCUUUUAA